RNAcentral lists this ribosomal RNA (604 nucleotides) under Kocuria sp. CMT63. Its description in RNAcentral is "bacterial SSU rRNA". It matches the Rfam family "Bacterial small subunit ribosomal RNA", at positions 273 to 886 of the family's 1533-position model. The record is from RNAcentral. Lineage: Bacteria; Bacillati; Actinomycetota; Actinomycetes; Micrococcales; Micrococcaceae.
GCGACGACGGGUAGCCGGCCUGAGAGGGUGACCGGCCACACUGGGACUGAGACACGGCCCAGACUCCUACGGGAGGCAGCAGUGGGGAAUAUUGCACAAUGGGCGCAAGCCUGAUGCAGCGACGCCGCGUGAGGGAUGACGGCCUUCGGGUUGUAAACCUCUUUCAGCAGGGAAGAAGCCACWAGUGACGGUACCUGCAGAAGAAGCGCCGGCUAACUACGUGCCAGCAGCCGCGGUAAUACGUAGGGCGCAAGCGUUGUCCGGAAUUAUUGGGCGUAAAGAGCUCGUAGGCGGUUUGUCGCGUCUGCUGUGAAAGCCCGGGGCUCAACCCCGGGUCUGCAGUGGGUACGGGCAGACUAGAGUGCAGUAGGGGAGACUGGAAUUCCUGGUGUAGCGGUGAAAUGCGCAGAUAUCAGGAGGAACACCGAUGGCGAAGGCAGGUCUCUGGGCUGUUACUGACGCUGAGGAGCGAAAGCAUGGGGAGCGAACAGGAUUAGAUACCCUGGUAGUCCAUGCCGUAAACGUUGGGCACUAGGUGUGGGGGACAUUCCACGUUCUCCGCGCCGUAGCUAACGCAUUAAGUGCCCCGCCUGGGGAGUACGGA